UCAACUAUACAUUAUACUACAGGAUUCACUUAUUUAUAAAUUCACCAGCAGUCAGGAGAUUUAAGUUCCAAUGGGGGAGACUUUCUCUAUUUUGUUUUCCCCUGAAUCCCUAGUGCUUACAUAUAUUGAGUACUAAAUAAAAUUACUUGCCAACUGAAUCUUUAAUACAAUUUGGGGACUUGGAACAAUGACAACAAAAAUCAUGCUCAAGUAAUUGCUACAGGAAGCUGUCAAAAAUGUUUGAAAGUCACUGCACAAAAGAAGAGUCACCACUGGUCAGUUUUGCAUUACUGGCUAAAGCAUUCAGAUGCCCCAAGAGUCAAAAACACAAUAACGAAAUAGGCAAACUCUCAUCUUUUUGCCUAUAAGGAAUUAUUCUUGGCCUCUGUUGUACAACUUCAAGUAAAAGGACCUAACCUACUUAGAAGGG
RNAcentral lists this non-coding RNA (430 nucleotides) under Pongo abelii (Sumatran orangutan). Lineage: Eukaryota; Metazoa; Chordata; Mammalia; Primates; Hominidae. The record is from RNAcentral.